RNAcentral lists this ribosomal RNA (369 nucleotides) under Triticum aestivum (bread wheat). RNAcentral's name for it is "partial small subunit ribosomal RNA". Lineage: Eukaryota; Viridiplantae; Streptophyta; Magnoliopsida; Poales; Poaceae. The record is from RNAcentral.
AUGGCUCACAAUGAAAAUAGAAGAAAAGAAAAGGCGCGCCUGCCAGUUCCAGGCGAGGCCAUGGAUAUUGCUGGCUCCAUUAUCCUUGCUCCGUCUCCCUCACGGCCUGAUUUGAUUUGGAUCGGACAUGACACAAAGACAUAUUCUGCCUGGCUUUGGAACCACGCCUGGACGGUGGGCAAGCAAGAUCGCGUGAGGGGGGCCGUGCAGCGAUACGAUGCACACCAGGUCACCGAUCGCCUUGCAGGUCAGCGUCACAAGGGUAGGCUGUCUAACCCACAUGACACAUCACCGCUAGUAGCUUUUGCCCAUGAAGCAACAAUUUCUUUUGCUCAAGUAAAGUAUCCAUCUGUCAACAUACUUACAUAA